This is a long non-coding RNA of Hydractinia symbiolongicarpus, 377 nucleotides long. RefSeq lists it as uncharacterized. The record is from RefSeq and is a predicted model, not a curated record. The transcript is spliced from 3 exons. NCBI's taxonomy places the organism in Eukaryota, Metazoa, Cnidaria, Hydrozoa, Anthoathecata, Hydractiniidae.
UGGCAUAUUUAUUUUUUUGAAAGCUGUUGUAGAUAUUUUAAAAUAACUUUAGACGUCUGGUAGAUAGCUGUAUACCAGUUUCAUCUAUUAACAAUGUAGUUUUUAUUUCUCAAGAUUAAUUCGUAUAUAUAUUGAUGUUUCAGUUAAUUUAGUGAAAACGAAUGAGCAUUGUAGCUGUUCUAAUACAUUGGAUAUGGCCAAUUUUUCUAGAGCAAGACUUGACAAGGUAGAUCAUUCCAUACAUAAACAAGGUCUCACUCUAUGUGGAAGAGGUAAUGCGAAAUUAAUUUACAUCUUAUCUAUCUCACAGAUCCCAAUUUGUCACCAUUUAAGAGAAGUCUUCUAAAAAUUUAAUUAUUAAACAUGGAGUCAGUCAG